UCCGACUUGGAGGUGUGCCCUGAGGCGUGGCCUCCGAGCUAACGCGUUAAGUCGCGCCUGGGAGUACGGCCGCAAGGUUAAAACUCAAAUGAAUUGACGGGGGCCCGCACAAGCGGUGGAGCAUGUGGUUUAAUUCGAUGCAACGCGAAGAACCUUACCUGGCCUUGACAUCCAGAGAACUUAGCAGAGAUGCUUUGGUGCCUUCGGGAACUCUGAGACAGGUGCUGCAUGGCUGUCGUCAGCUCGUGUUGUGAAAUGUUGGGUUAAGUCCCGCAACGAGCGCAACCCUUAUCCUUUGUUGCCAGCGGUUCGGCCGGGAACUCAAAGGAGACUGCCGGUGAUAAACCGGAGGAAGGUGGGGAUGACGUCAAGUCAUCAUGGCCCUUACGGCCAGGGCUACACACGUGCUACAAUGGCGCAUACAAAGAGAAGCGACCUCGCGAGAGCAAGCGGACCUCAUAAAGUGCGUCGUAGUCCGGAUUGGAGUCUGCAACUCGACUCCAUGAAGUCGGAAUCGCUAGUAAUCGUAGAUCAGAAUGCUACGGUGAAUACGUUCCCGGGCCUUGUACACACCGCCCGUCACACCAUGGGAGUGGGUUGCAAAAGAAGUAGGUAGCUUAACCUCCGGGAGGGCGCUUACCACUUUGUGAUUCAUGACUGGGGUGAAGUCGUAACAAGGUAACCAAGGGCGAAUUCCAG
Molecule: ribosomal RNA, 699 nt
Filed under: uncultured Pantoea sp.
Lineage: Bacteria; Pseudomonadati; Pseudomonadota; Gammaproteobacteria; Enterobacterales; Erwiniaceae
Description: bacterial SSU rRNA
Rfam family: Bacterial small subunit ribosomal RNA
Source: RNAcentral